This 398-nucleotide ribosomal RNA is filed under the name uncultured bacterium. Its description in RNAcentral is "bacterial SSU rRNA". It matches the Rfam family "Bacterial small subunit ribosomal RNA", at positions 358 to 773 of the family's 1533-position model. The record is from RNAcentral.
GGAAUAUUGCACAAUGGGGGAAACCCUGAUGCAGCGACGCCGCGUGAGUGAAGAAGUAUCUCGGUAUGUAAAGCUCUAUCAGCAGGAAAGAUAAUGACGGUACCUGACUAAGAAGCCCCGGCUAACUACGUGCCAGCAGCCGCGGUAAUACGUAGGGGGCAAGCGUUAUCCGGAUUUACUGGGUGUAAAGGGAGCGUAGACGGCAGCGCAAGUCUGGAGUGAAAGGCUGGGGCCCAACCCCGGGACUGCUCUGGAAACUAUUUAACUUGAGUGCAGGAGAGGUAAGCGGAAUUCCUGGUGUAGCGGUGAAAUGCGUAGAUAUUAGGAGGAACACCAGUGGCGAAGGCGGCUUACUGGACUGUAACUGACGUUGAGGCUCGAAAGCGUGGGGAGCAAAC